CAAAACCCCACUGAAUGUUGGAGUAAUUUCAUCAUUAAACAGCAUACGGCUAUUCCCCAAUACACGGUACGAAUAGGAGAGAGAGGGGGGGGAGAGGGGUGAGGAUGGCUCAUGAGAGCAGAGCCAGAUACCGGUACCUGCGCUGACCAAAAGACAGAAAGGAUUGUGGGUAAUCUUCUGCGCAAUUGAGGAUUUGCCAUGAGGGAAUAAACGUGCAUUUCAACCUGACCAACUCCAGAAGAUUUAGCCAGACAUCUCACAGUUACAUACCGUGACUAAGACGGACCGGGCAGGUGUCUUCUCCCCACUGCAUCGACCUGGAGCUGUGAUUGUUUCUUUGUUGUUUCUGAAUGUUAGUUUUAUUUAGCUAACAGCCAUAUUCCCUUGAGUGAGUAUUUUGCUAUAAGUAUGAGUUUUAAUGACUUUGGUGCAUCCGACGUGACUCCUCUCGGGUUUUGGCAGGGUU
Molecule: long non-coding RNA, 466 nt
Organism: Gasterosteus aculeatus aculeatus (three-spined stickleback)
Lineage: Eukaryota; Metazoa; Chordata; Actinopteri; Perciformes; Gasterosteidae
Source: Ensembl